AANUAGCGGAGAAAUGCAUAGAUAUNACGCAGAACACUGAUUGCGAANGCANCUUAUUAUUGACGCUGAGGAACGAAGCGAGGGGAUGAAACAGGAUUAGAUACCCUNNUAGUCCACGCCCUAAACGAUGAAUACUCGUUGGCGAUACGUCAGCGUCUAAGCNAACNCGUNAANUAUUCCACCUGGUGAGUACNCCCGCAAGGUGAAACUCAAGSAAUUGACGGGGCCCGCACAACGGAGAGCAUGUGGUUUAAUCGAUAAUACGCGAGAACCUUACCCRGGCUUGAAAGUAUGAAUGAUCAGAGACGUACAGUCCUUCGGGACAGAACUAGGUGCUGCAUGGCUGUCGUCAGUCGUGCCGUGAGGGUUGGGUUAAUCCCGCAACGAGCCAACCCCUGUGUUUAGUUGCCAGGUAAUGGGGGACUCUAANAGACUGCUAUGCUAGAGAGAGGAGNNACGAGUA
RNAcentral lists this ribosomal RNA (463 nucleotides) under Corticium malagasoroseum. Its description in RNAcentral is "partial small subunit ribosomal RNA". The record is from RNAcentral. Lineage: Eukaryota; Fungi; Basidiomycota; Agaricomycetes; Corticiales; Corticiaceae.